UCCAUUGUUAACAAUUUCAUGAAUAAGCCUUCAAUGAUGAGCAGCUACGAAAAUGACUUUUUCAGUAAACUGAAUAGCUGGUUGUAUGAGAAUAUACAAGGCUUUAAAUAUAUGGACUCUAAAGAUUUGUUGUCUUGGGUGGGCUUUCUGGCUGGCGUAUCACUGACAUUCACUAUUAUCUAUUUCUACAUACAAGGAGAAUUAUUAGGGAAAGCGGCCAAACAGUCCAAAAGAAAUACCUUAAGUAAUUCUAGAAUUCUUAAUAAUCCCGUUAAAGUUGAAACUCCCACUAGACAAACACGCACUUUACGAUCGAGAACGCAAGAGGAUAAACCCAAAAAAAGCAGCCUAACUCCCAAGUAUUCUAAAAGUCAACUGCAACAUUUAAAAAAUGAAGAACUCAAAAAAAUUCUUCUAGAUUAUGGAUCGACGCCUUCUGGAAAUAAAUCUCAAAUGGUUGAAAGCAUUUUAAAAAAACAAGAAAAAAC
Long non-coding RNA from Zophobas morio, 488 nucleotides. RefSeq lists it as uncharacterized. Lineage: Eukaryota; Metazoa; Arthropoda; Insecta; Coleoptera; Tenebrionidae. The record is from RefSeq and is a predicted model, not a curated record. The transcript has 5 exons.